CANUGGGGGAACCCUGAUGCAGCGACGCCGCGUGGAGGAAGAAGGUCUUCGGAUUGUAAACUCCUGUUGUUGGGGAAGAUAAUGACGGUACCCAACAAGGAAGUGACGGCUAACUACGUGCCAGCAGCCGCGGUAAAACGUAGGUCACAAGCGUUGUCCGGAAUUACUGGGUGUAAAGGGAGCGCAGGCGGACGCUUAAGUCAGUUGUGAAAGUUUGCGGCUCAACCNUAAAAUUGCNNUUGAUACUGGGUGUCUUGAGUACAGUAGAGGCAGGCGGAAUUCGUGGUGUAGCGGUGAAAUGCUUAGAUAUCACGAAGAACUCCGAUUGCGAAGGCAGCCUGCUGGACUGUAACUGACGCUGAUGCUCGAAAGUGUGGGUAUCAAACAGGAUUAGAUACCCUGGUAGUCCAAGGGCGAAUUC
This 421-nucleotide ribosomal RNA is filed under the name uncultured bacterium. RNAcentral's name for it is "SSU rRNA". It matches the Rfam family "Bacterial small subunit ribosomal RNA", at positions 369 to 808 of the family's 1533-position model. The record is from RNAcentral.